UUAAGCGACUAAGCGUACACGGUGGAUGCCCUGGCAGUCAGAGGCGAUGAAGGACGUGCUAAUCUGCGAAAAGCGUCGGUAAGGUGAUAUGAACCGUUACAGCCGGCGAUGUCCGAAUGGGGAAACCCAGUGCAAUUCGUUGCACUAUCGUUAACUGAAUACAUAGGUUAACGAGGCGAACCGGGGGAACUGAAACAUCUAAGUACCCCGAGGAAAAGAAAUCAACCGAGAUUCCCCCAGUAGCGGCGAGCGAACGGGGAGCAGCCCAGAGUCUGAAUCAGCUUGUGUGUUAGUGGAACGGUCUGGAAAGUCCGACGGUACAGGGUGAUAGUCCCGUACACCAAAAUGCACAGGUUGUGAACUCGAAGAGUAGGGCGGGACACGUGGUAUCCUGUCUGAAUAUGGGGGGACCAUCCUCCAAGGCUAAAUACUCCUGACUGACCGAUAGUGAACCAGUACCGUGAGGGAAAGGCGAAAAGAACCCCGGCGAGGGGAGUGAAAAAGAACCUGAAACCGUGUACGUACAAGCAGUGGGAGCACCUUCGGGUGUGACUGCGUACCUUUUGUAUAAUGGGUCAGCGACUUAUAUUCUGUAGCAAGGUUAACCGUAUAGGGGAGCCGCAGGGAAACCGAGUCUUAACUGGGCGUUAAGUUGCAGGGUAUAGACCCGAAACCCGGUGAUCUAGCCAUGGGCAGGUUGAAGGUUGGGUAACACUAACUGGAGGACCGAACCGACUAAUGUUGAAAAAUUAGCGGAUGACUUGUGGCUGGGGGUGAAAGGCCAAUCAAACCGGGAGAUAGCUGGUUCUCCCCGAAAGCUAUUUAGGUAGCGCCUCGUGAACUCAUCUUCGGGGGUAGAGCACUGUUUCGGCUAGGGGGUCAUCCCGACUUACCAACCCGAUGCAAACUACGAAUACCGAAGAAUGUUAUCACGGGAGACACACGGCGGGUGCUAACGUCCGUCGUGAAGAGGGAAACAACCCAGACCGCCAGCUAAGGUCCCAAAGUCAUGGUUAAGUGGGAAACGAUGUGGGAAGGCACAGACAGCCAGGAUGUUGGCUUAGAAGCAGCCAUCAUUUAAAGAAAGCGUAAUAGCUCACUGGUCGAGUCGGCCUGCGCGGAAGAUGUAACGGGGCUAAACCAUGCACCGAAGCUGCGGCAGCGACGCUUAUGUGUUGUUGGGUAGGGGAGCGUUCUGUAAGCCUGCGAAGGUGGCCUGUGAGGGUUGCUGGAGGUAUCAGAAGUGCGAAUGCUGACAUAAGUAACGAUAAAGCGGGUGAAAAGCCCGCUCGCCGGAAGACCAAGGGUUCCUGUCCAACGUUAAUCGGGGCAGGGUGAGUCGACCCCUAAGGCGAGGCCGAAAGGCGUAGUCGAUGGGAAACAGGUUAAUAUUCCUGUACUUGGUGUUACUGCGAAGGGGGGACGGAGAAGGCUAUGUUAGCCGGGCGACGGUUGUCCCGGUUUAAGCAUGUAGGCGGAGGUUCCAGGUAAAUCCGGUACCUUUUAACGCUGAGGUGUGAUGACGAGGCACUACGGUGCUGAAGUAACAAAUGCCCUGCUUCCAGGAAAAGCCUCUAAGCAUCAGGUAACAUCAAAUCGUACCCCAAACCGACACAGGUGGUCAGGUAGAGAAUACCAAGGCGCUUGAGAGAACUCGGGUGAAGGAACUAGGCAAAAUGGUGCCGUAACUUCGGGAGAAGGCACGCUGGUGUGUAGGUGAAGUCCCUGCGGAUGGAGCUGAGACCAGUCGAAGAUACCAGCUGGCUGCAACUGUUUAUUAAAAACACAGCACUGUGCAAACACGAAAGUGGACGUAUACGGUGUGACGCCUGCCCGGUGCCGGAAGGUUAAUUGAUGGGGUUAUCCGUAAGGAGAAGCUCUUGAUCGAAGCCCCGGUAAACGGCGGCCGUAACUAUAACGGUCCUAAGGUAGCGAAAUUCCUUGUCGGGUAAGUUCCGACCUGCACGAAUGGCGUAAUGAUGGCCAGGCUGUCUCCACCCGAGACUCAGUGAAAUUGAACUCGCUGUGAAGAUGCAGUGUACCCGCGGCAAGACGGAAAGACCCCGUGAACCUUUACUAUAGCUUGACACUGAACAUUGAGCCUUGAUGUGUAGGAUAGGUGGGAGGCUUUGAAGCGUGGACGCCAGUCUGCGUGGAGCCAACCUUGAAAUACCACCCUUUAAUGUUUGAUGUUCUAACGUUGGCCCCUUAUCGGGGUUGCGGACAGUGUCUGGUGGGUAGUUUGACUGGGGCGGUCUCCUCCCAAAGAGUAACGGAGGAGCACGAAGGUUAGCUAAUCCUGGUCGGACAUCAGGAGGUUAGUGCAAUGGCAUAAGCUAGCUUGACUGCGAGCGUGACGGCGCGAGCAGGUGCGAAAGCAGGUCAUAGUGAUCCGGUGGUUCUGAAUGGAAGGGCCAUCGCUCAACGGAUAAAAGGUACUCCGGGGAUAACAGGCUGAUACCGCCCAAGAGUUCAUAUCGACGGCGGUGUUUGGCACCUCGAUGUCGGCUCAUCACAUCCUGGGGCUGAAGUAGGUCCCAAGGGUAUGGCUGUUCGCCAUUUAAAGUGGUACGCGAGCUGGGUUUAGAACGUCGUGAGACAGUUCGGUCCCUAUCUGCCGUGGGCGCUGGAGAAUUGAGGGGGGCUGCUCCUAGUACGAGAGGACCGGAGUGGACGCAUCACUGGUGUUCGGGUUGUCAUGCCAAUGGCACUGCCCGGUAGCUAAAUGCGGAAGAGAUAAGUGCUGAAAGCAUCUAAGCACGAAACUUGCCCCGAGAUGAGUUCUCCCUGAGACUUUAAGUCUCCUGAAGGAACGUUGAAGACGACGACGUUGAUAGGCCGGGUGUGUAAGCGCAGCGAUGCGUUGAGCUAACCGGUACUAAUGAACCGUGAGGCUUAACCUU
This 2903-nucleotide ribosomal RNA is filed under the name Klebsiella variicola. Its description in RNAcentral is "bacterial LSU rRNA". It matches the Rfam family "Bacterial large subunit ribosomal RNA". The record is from RNAcentral. Lineage: Bacteria; Pseudomonadati; Pseudomonadota; Gammaproteobacteria; Enterobacterales; Enterobacteriaceae.